This 497-nucleotide ribosomal RNA is filed under the name uncultured bacterium. RNAcentral's name for it is "partial 16S ribosomal RNA". It matches the Rfam family "Bacterial small subunit ribosomal RNA", at positions 28 to 507 of the family's 1533-position model. The record is from RNAcentral.
GACGAACGCUGGCGGCGUGCCUAAUACAUGCAAGUUGAGCGAUGAAGAUUGGUGCUUGCACCAAUUUGAAGAGCAGCGAACGGGUGAGUAACGCGUGGGGAAUCUGCCUUUGAGCGGGGGACAACAUUUGGAAACGAAUGCUAAUACCGCAUAACAACUUUAAACAUAAGUUUUAAGUUUGAAAGAUGCAAUUGCAUCACUCAAAGAUGAUCCCGCGUUGUAUUAGCUAGUUGGUGAGGUAAAGGCUCACCAAGGCGAUGAUACAUAGCCGACCUGAGAGGGUGAUCGGCCACAUUGGGACUGAGACACGGCCCAAAAUCCUACGGGAGGCAGCAGUAGGGAAUCUUCGGCAAUGGACGAAAGUCUGACCGAGCAACGCCGCGUGAGUGAAGAAGGGUUUCGGAUCGUAAAACUCUGUUGGUAGAGAAGAACGUUGGUGAGAGUGGAAAGCUCAUCAAGUGACGGUAACUACCCAGAAAGGGACGGCUAACUACGUG